UGUUACUUUGGCAGAUUAGUGUAGUAAAUUUAGAAUUUAUUUAUGUAAAUUUUUUUUACAGGUAAUA
This 67-nucleotide transfer RNA is filed under the name Limbodessus pinnaclesensis. Its description in RNAcentral is "tRNA-Leu". Lineage: Eukaryota; Metazoa; Arthropoda; Insecta; Coleoptera; Dytiscidae. The record is from RNAcentral.